Molecule: long non-coding RNA, 1332 nt
Filed under: Homo sapiens (human)
Lineage: Eukaryota; Metazoa; Chordata; Mammalia; Primates; Hominidae
Description: HSALNT0064862
Source: RNAcentral
CAGAUUACCCAGGCCUUGCACCUGGAUCAAUGGGCUGCCCUAAUGAAGGAUAUCAAAAAUGAAGGGGCAGCUAAAGAAAAAUAAAAGACACCUCAGAAAGUAGCCUGCCUCUUUGACAAGGGACAUGCCUUCAGAGGAACAUAACAGAAACCUCUGAGAAUUGUCAACAAUAAAAAGACUGAGCAACAAGGGAAACUGGUAGGAAGCCAAAGGUUUUAAGAGGUGAGAGUGGAGAAAUGCUGUGCUUUUAUUGAUCCUCUCCAAAGGAACACCUUUAAAAAAGGAUGAUAUAAAUUGGCACUAAUCCUCAUAAGAGAAGAAUGUCAGCCAAGCCAGUGAAGGAAUUUUGGAGUUCGCUUUGAAGACUUAUGCACUCUCCAGCUGGUCACAGACACUACACUCACCCAUUUUGUAAAUACACUUUUUUUUGUUUUGUUUUUUAAGCUUCUCACUUCAGUAUCUACCAGACAGGCUUGUGCAAGGAGUGAACUAGUAUUGUAUCUGUUAAUUUCUUUGCAGGCAAAAAUCAAGUUACCAGGAAAAUAUUUUUUAAAAACCACGAACAGUCUAAGAGCACUGAACAUUUUGAAUCAUUUGCCUUUUCUCAACACUGGAUUUUAAGCAAGGAACAAGACUAUUCCAGUUCUAAAUGCUUUAAUGAACAAGGGGUAUUGGGUUUUAGCAUCAACAUGAUCUAUCCUCACUCUGAAGCUUUAACUUGAGUAGCUGCUGUGCUUUGUAAAGCUUCAAUCCAAUUCAUUUGAUAACUACAAUUACCAAAUCUGGGCAUUGCUGACUACACAGUUCAAAAAAACAGCAUGGAGGGAAGACCUGCUGAGAACCUUAGAAUCUAUCGAUAAGCUCUUGAAAUGGUUUAAAGUAAUAAACCACUUCAAUUGAAAGGGCAAUAAAAUGUUUUUCGUGUAUAUAUGUACAUAAGAACACAAGAGCUAAAUGAAUGGAUAUAUUUUUCAAAAUCAAUAAAGAAAAAAUUGCAUAUUUGUAUUAGACUCAAGGAAAGACAUAAUGGCUGUGGAUUUUUAAAGCUCAGGAUGUACACUGUCAGUGCUGCUCAGAUACCAGAAGAAUGGGAGGGCCGUUUCAGAUAAGGUAGUCAGCAAAGUUCUCUCUGAGGUGACAUCCAAGUUGAAGUACAUUAAGAAGGUAGCCAAAUGAUAUUCAGAGGAAGAGCAUUCUAAGCAUAUGGGAAGGAGCAUGCCUGGUGUGUUCAAAAAAAAGCAAGGAGCAGAGUGAGCUAAAGUAAAGAAAUAGAAGAUAACGUGGCCAGAGAAAUAGUGACGGGGCAGAUCAAGGGAGAUUAUGGACCAUGAU